Molecule: ribosomal RNA, 920 nt
Filed under: Clostridia bacterium
Lineage: Bacteria; Bacillati; Bacillota; Clostridia
Description: partial 23S ribosomal RNA
Rfam family: Bacterial large subunit ribosomal RNA
Source: RNAcentral
CAUCAAGUUAGUAAGGGCAUACGGAGGAUGCCUUGGGGCAAGGAGCCGAUGAAGGACGCGGCAGGCGGCGAAACGCUCCGGGGAGGUGCGAGCAACCGUUGAUCCGGAGGUCUCCGAAUGGGGCAACCCGGCGCAGGGAAACCUGCGUCACCGCCCGUAAGGGCGGAGGGAACCGGGCGAACUGAAACAUCUUAGUAGCCCGAGGAAAAGAAAGCAACAGCGAUUCCCCAAGUAGCGGCGAGCGAACGGGGAAGAGCCCAAACCCACCGGGUGCAAAAGGCUGUGGCCGUUGCUCGGUGGGGGUUGUAGGCAUCCGUCUUCCUGCUUCCACAGGAGCAGGGGGAAGUUACAAAGGACCUAUCUAGCCGAACCGUCCUGGAAAGGCGGGCCAUAGAAGGUGAUAGCCCUGUAGGCGAAAGGUAGGUCCCUUCCCGACGGAUAGCCUGAGUACCCCGGGACACGUGAAACCCUGGGGGAAGCAGGGAGGACCACCUCCCAAGGCUAAAUACUCCUUGCCACCGAUAGCGCAUAGUACCGUGAGGGAAAGGUGAAAAGAACCCCGGAAGGGGAGUGAAAUAGAACCUGAAUCCGUAUGCCUACAAGCAGUAGGAGCCCUACGGUCUCCCUUUUGGGAGACAAUGGGUGACUGCGUGCCUUUUGCAGAAUGAGCCGGGGAGUUGCUUGGUGUCGCUCAGGUUAAGCGCCUCAGGCGCGGAGCCGUAGCGAAAGCGAGUCCGAAUAGGGCGUAUGGAAGCUUUAUGCUUCCAGGGUGGCACUAAGCAGACCCGAAACCGGGCGAGCUACCCAUGCCCAGGGUGAAAGAGGGGUAAAGCCCUCUGGAGGCCCGAACGGGUUAGGGGUGAAAACCUAUCCGAUGAGGUGUGGGUAGUGUGGGUGAAAUGCCAAUCGAGCCCGGAGAU